AAAAAAGUGUUUUUUUUUCCCAAAAAACGAGGCAGAGGCGGUGACCCCCCCUCCAAAAAGCUCAAGAGCCAGCGGGGAGGGGGAUUUUUUUGGGGGUGGGGGCAAGAUUUGGGGUUUGGGGCAAGAUUUUCGCUUGGCGGGCACGGUUUUGGGGACAAAUGCAAUAUUUUUGGGGUUGGGGGCAAGAUUUUGGGGGAUAGGGGCAAGAUUUUGGGGUUGGGGGCAAGGUUUUGGGGCAAAAUUUUGGGGUUUUGGGGCAAGAUUUUCGCUUGGCGGGCAAGAUUUUGGGGACAAAUGCAAUAUUUUGGGGGUUGGGGCAAGAUUUUCGCUUGGCGGGCACGGUUUUGGGGACAAAUGCAAUAUUUUUGGGGUUGGGGGCAAGAUUUUGGGGGAUAGGGGCAAGAUUUUGGGGUUGGGGGCAAGGUUUUGGGGCAAAAUUUUGGGGUUUUGGGGCAAGAUUUUCGCUUGGCGGGCAAGAUUUUGGGGACAAAUGCAAUAUUUUGGGGGUUGGGGGCAAGAUUUUGGGUUUUGGGGCAAGAUUUUGGCUUGGCGGGCACGGUUUGGGGGACAAAUGCAAUAUUUGGGGGGUUUGGGGCAAUAUUUUGGGGUUUGGGGCAAGAUUUUGGGUUUUGGGGCAAGAUUUUUGCUUGGCGGGCACGGUUUUGGGGACAAAUGCAAUAUUUUAGGGUUUUGGGGCAAGACUUUGGGGGGUUUGGGG
RNAcentral lists this long non-coding RNA (718 nucleotides) under Anas platyrhynchos platyrhynchos (common mallard). Its description in RNAcentral is "lncRNA (ENSAPLG00000029914.1)". Lineage: Eukaryota; Metazoa; Chordata; Aves; Anseriformes; Anatidae. The record is from RNAcentral.